This 557-nucleotide long non-coding RNA is filed under the name Rattus norvegicus (Norway rat). Its description in RNAcentral is "long non-coding RNA NONRATT008225". Lineage: Eukaryota; Metazoa; Chordata; Mammalia; Rodentia; Muridae. The record is from RNAcentral.
CUGCUGCCCGUAGGGUUCCCGGAUGCCGAGUAGGAAUAGAUGUGGCUGUUAUUGCUACCACUGCUGUCACAGCCUGGGAGCCUUGCUGAGACUCAGGCAAAAAUGUGAGUCCAGAAAGGCCAUAGCUCUUUAUGGCACGGUUUUCUGGCUCGACCCAACUGGUCCUCCCGCUCGCCCACGAGUUCACACACAAAGAUUACAAAAAGCCAGCCUGAGGCUGAGCUGCAGUCGGUGCCCAUCCUUUCUGUGACAAGGAAUGUCUUCAAUCUCUGUUCCUCAGUUUUGUCAUCUUAAAAGAGGGGCUUCUGGAGUGCUGGGUAGGCCAGAGGUAAUAGACAGAGGGCAUCUAGCACAGGACUUUCCGAUCGUGAAUGCUCAAUAAACCAAAGUUCUUAAUGGUAUGGGCUCUAAUAAAGUCUCUCUGGAAAUGACACAUUUUUUUCCUUUUAUAAAAAGUUUGGAUGAAAAGGAGGCCUUAAAAUGUGUGUGUGGGGAGGGGUGGCCAGUGUCAUAUGGCUGCUUGUUGGCAAGGUUGCUACUAAAAUGUCAUUCUCUAA